This 253-nucleotide ribosomal RNA is filed under the name uncultured bacterium. Its description in RNAcentral is "partial 16S ribosomal RNA". It matches the Rfam family "Bacterial small subunit ribosomal RNA", at positions 524 to 776 of the family's 1533-position model. The record is from RNAcentral.
UACGUAGGGUGCAAGCGUUGUCCGGAAUUAUUGGGCGUAAAGAGCUCGUAGGCGGUCUGUCGCGUCUGCUGUGAAAAUCCAGGGCUUAACCCUGGACCUGCAGUGGGUACGGGCAGACUAGAGUGCGGUAGGGGAGAUCGGAAUUCCUGGUGUAGCGGUGAAAUGCGCAGAUAUCAGGAGGAACACCGGUGGCGAAGGCGGAUCUCUGGGCCUUACCUGACGCUGAGGAGCGAAAGCGUGGGGAGCGAACAGG